Homo sapiens (human) is the source of this 530-nucleotide RNA transcript. It is a transcript of the gene named ATP binding cassette subfamily C member 6 pseudogene 1, with no coding region annotated. NCBI's taxonomy places the organism in Eukaryota, Metazoa, Chordata, Mammalia, Primates, Hominidae. The record is from RefSeq and is marked provisional.
CUGGGACCCACGACGACAGAAGGCGCCGAUGGCCGCGCCUGCUGAGCCCUGCGCGGGGCAGGGGGUCUGGAACCAGACAGAGCCUGAACCUGCCGCCACCAGCCUGCUGAGCCUGUGCUUCCUGAGAACAGCAGGGGUCUGGGUGCCCCCCAUGUACCUCUGGGUCCUUGGUCCCAUCUACCUCCUCUUCAUCCACCACCAUGGCCGGGGCUACCUCCAGAUGUCCCCACUCUUCAAAGCCAAGAUGGUGCUUGGAUUCACCCUCAUAGUCCUGUGUACCUCCAGCGUGGCUGUCGCUCUUUGGAAAAUCCAACAGGGAACGCCUGAGGCCCCAGAAUUCCUCAUUCAUCCUACUGUGUGGCUCACCACGAUGAGCUUCGCAGUGUUCCUGAUUCACACCGAGAGGAAAAAGGGAGUCCAGUCAUCUGGAGUGCUGUUUGGUUACUGGCUUCUCUGCUUUGUCUUGCCAGCUACCAACGCUGCCCAGCAGGCCUCCGGAUUAAUUUUUAGAAACAGGGUCUUGCUCUGUU